Molecule: transfer RNA, 69 nt
Filed under: Amphiura sp. CZ-2022
Lineage: Eukaryota; Metazoa; Echinodermata; Ophiuroidea; Amphilepidida; Amphiuridae
Description: tRNA-Thr
Source: RNAcentral
GCCUUGGAAGCUUGAAGCUUUCUUUUUUGUAAAGAGAAAUAGGUCAGUGUAAAUCUGAUUCAUGGCUGU